Long non-coding RNA from Oncorhynchus nerka (sockeye salmon), 1726 nucleotides. RefSeq lists it as uncharacterized. Lineage: Eukaryota; Metazoa; Chordata; Actinopteri; Salmoniformes; Salmonidae. The record is from RefSeq and is a predicted model, not a curated record. The transcript is spliced from 3 exons.
CACUACUUGGCGCUGUUGGAUACCCAAGACCCUGCCUCCCUGCUGCUGUGGGUCAUCAGCCUCCUGAAGAGAGAGGAUAAAUCAUGGUUUGAUUGAAAGUGAAAAACAACAUCCAUCCAUAGAAUGAAGGUGGAGCAACAGUGAAUCAGAGGAAGAGAGCGGCAGGUGCAACCAUCCCUUGGUUCUGCUGAUCCCACAAAGUUCCACUACUGUGAAGAACUGUGUUCACUAUUCAUCUGAAAAAGUUUGCUCAAUUAUGUUUGAAUUGAUGUGUAUAUAUAUAUAAAGAAGUGAAUAAAUAUUUCUAAAUCCCAAAACAUAACUAUUAUACAGUGUGGUUAUACAGUGGGGAGAACAAGUAUUUGAUACGCUGCCGAUUUUCCUACUUACAAAGCAUGUAGGUCUGUAAUUAUCAUAGGUAUAAAACAACUGUGAGAGACAGAAUCUAAAACAAAAAUCCUGAAAAAUCACAUGAUUUUUAAGUAAUUCAUUUGCAUUUUAUUGCAUGACAUAAGUAUUUGAUACAUCAGAAAAGCAGAACUUAAUAUUUGGUACAGAAACCUGUUCGCAAUUAGAGAUCAUACGUUUUCUGUAAUUCUUGACCAGGUUUGCACACACUGCAGCAGGGAUUUUGGCCCACUCCUCCAUACAGACCUUCUCCAGAUCCUUCAGGUUUCAGGCUGUCGCUGGGCAAUACGGACUUUCAGCUCCCUCUAAAGAUGUUCUAUUGGGUUCAGGUCUGGAGACUGGCUAGGCCACUCCAGGACCUUGAGAUGCUUCUUGCGGAGCCACUCUUUACUUGCCCUGGCUGGAUCAUCCUCUGGAUCAUCCAGAUGGUCAUUGGCAAACUUCAGAUGGGCCUGGACAUGUGCUGGCUUGAGCAGGGGGACCUUGUGUGCGCUGCAGGAUUUUAAUCCAUGAAGGCGUAGUGUGUUACUAAUGGUUUUCUUUAAGACUGUGGUCCCAGCUCUCUUCAGGUCAUUAAUCAGGUCCUGCCGUGUAGUUCUGGGCUGAUCCCUCACCUUCCUCAUGAUCAUUGAUGCACCACGAGGUAAGAUCUUGCAUGGAGCCCCAGACCGAGGGUGAUUGACCGUCAUCUUGAACUUCUUCCAUUUUCUAAUAAUUGCACCAACAGUUGUUGCUUUCUCACCAAGCUGCUUGCCUAAUGGCCUGUAGCCCAGCCUUGUGCAGGUCUACAACGUUAUCCCUGAUGUCCUUACACAGCUGUCUGGUCUUAGCCAUUGUGUAGAGGAUGGCGUCUGUUUGAUCGAGUGUGUGGACAGGUGUCUUUUAUACAGGUAACGAGUUCAAACAGGUGCAGUUAAUACAGGUAAUGAGUGGAGAACAUGAGGGAAUCUUAAAGAAAAACUAACAGGUCUGUGAGAGCCGGAAUUCUUACUGGUUGGUAGGUGAUCAAAUACUUAUGUCAUGCAAUAAAAUCCAAAUGAAUUACUUAAAAAUCAUACAAUGUGAUUUUCUGGAUUUUUGUUUUAGAUUCCAUCUCUCACAGUUGAAGUGUACUUAUGAUAAAAAUUACAUACCUCUACAUGCUUUGUAAGUGGGAAAACCUGCAAAAUCGGCAGUGUAUCAAAUACUUGUUCUCCCCACUGUAGGUAACCACACCGUGACUACAACUAAGUAACUAAGUCUGACCACACUACGCUGUUACUUUGGUGAGUAAAAACUCAUCCUACCUACCCUUUAAUGUUCUAAUAAAACAUAGUCG